CAAACGUUGUGCCGAAUUGUUGUAAAAUUGAUGCGCGCUCGCUUGUCCCUCUGACAAAGAAAUAACACACAACGUUCUGUGUUCUGUAUUCUACUCAAAUACGUUACGCGUUUGUUAAUUUAUUUUUUAGUUUCGGUUUUAAUAGAAAAAUUUUUUGCGGCAUUUUUUUAAUAAUAGCAACAAAAAAGCGAAAUAAAAAGUUUAAAAAUAUUUCUGCGACGAAACGUUAAAACGAAACGAAAUUUGUUGAAAAUUAAAAAAGAAAAGAAAAUUUAUGAAAAUUUUUUUGAAAUUAAAAAAAGUUAUUAAUUUAAAAGUUAAAUUUAAUUUAAAGUUUAAACAAAAAGUUUAUACAAAAACCAAUUUUAAACCUCCAAUUGAAAGGAAUUUAAUGAAAAAAAUUUUAAGGCAAAAGCAAAAUAGUAUACGAAGAUUUUGUUAUUAUUUAUUAUUCAAAUAAAUCUAUACUACCAAAGAUUAAUAAGUUAAGUUAAAGCCAAAAACAUCUACAAUUUUUUAAAUUAAAAAAUAACACAUACACAAAUUAAAUAAGUAACGACGUUAAAUUUAAAACAAAAUUAAGAAAUAAGUAAAGAAAAUAGCUAUAAAAUAAAAUAAAUGCAAAUAAAAUUGGCAAACAUUAACAACAUUAUUAGAAAAAACAAGAGAAACUUUUGCAACACACAGUAGAAGGAGAAAUUACAUAAAAAGAAAUUGCAAAUUCUUACAAAAGAAAAUUUCUAUGAUAAUUUCCAUCAACAACUACUCAAACCUACAUUAGCAGUCACAGCCACAUGCAUAUGUGGAACAGUAUAAGAAAUUAAGUCGAGAAGAAGUGCCAGUAAACUGCAGAAGGAGCAGCAGCUCGAUGAAAACAUUAAAAGGCAAAAGGAAUAACGAGAGAACAACAACUGCAAUCAUUACAAUACAUUUACAAACAUUAAGAUAAGCCGUCUUUAAGGAUAAAAACAAGGAAAAACUUGAUGACAUUGUAA
Long non-coding RNA from Lucilia sericata (common green bottle fly), 995 nucleotides. RefSeq lists it as uncharacterized. The record is from RefSeq and is a predicted model, not a curated record. Lineage: Eukaryota; Metazoa; Arthropoda; Insecta; Diptera; Calliphoridae. The transcript is spliced from 2 exons.